UACUCGUAAGAGACCGAUAGCGAACCAGUACCGUGAGGGAAAGGUGAAAAGCACCCUGAUUAAGGGAGUGAAAGAGUUCCUGAAACCGUACGCCUACAAGCGGUCGGAGCAGCAAUAUGCUGUGACGGCGUGCCUUUUGCAUAAUGAGCCUACGAGUUGUCGUUUUUGGCAAGGCUAAGGACAAUGAUGUCCGGAGCCGUAGCGAAAGCGAGUCCGAAGAGGGCGUGCAGUCAAAGGCGGCAGACGCGAAACCAAGUGAUCUACCCUUGUCCAGGUUGAAGUCCCGGUAACACGGGAUGGAGGACCGAACCAAUAAGCGUUGAAAAGCUUCUGGAUGAGGUGAGGGUAGGAGUGAAAGGCCAAUCAAACUUGGAGAUAGCUCGUACUCCCCGAAAUGCAUUUAGGUGCAGCCUCGGAUGUUUGCUGUAAGAGGUAGAGCGACUGAUCGGACGCGAGGGCUUCGCCGCCUGUCAAGUCCGGACAAACUCCGAAUGCUUACAGCUUAAGUCCGGGAGUGAGGGACGGGGUGCUAAGGUCCCGCCCCGAGAGGAGAAGAAUCCAGACCGUCAGCUAAGGUCCCGAAGUGUAGGUUAAGUUAGUCUAACGCAGUGUGGCCCCCAAGACAGCUAGGAUGUUGGCCCGGAAGCAGCCAUUCAUUCAAAGAGUGCGUAACAGCUCACUAGUCGAGGGGCUGCGCGUGGAUGAUAAUCGGGUAUAAAAUCUACCACCGAAGCUACGGAAUCCGUUUUUGGAUUGGUAGGGGAGCAUUGCCGUUGCUUAGAAGAUAUGAGGACGACUUGUAUUGGAGCGACGGGAAAAGCAAAUGUAGGCAUAAGUAACGAGAAAGAGGGUGCGACUCCCUCUCGCCGUAAGGUUAAGGUUUCCCGGGCAACGUUCGUCGUCCCGGGGUUAGUCGGGUCCUAAGGCUCAGCCGCAAGGCGAGGUCGAUGGUCAUGCGUUUAAUAUUCCGCAACUGUCUUUAAGAGCGAUGUGGUGACGGAGAAGUGACACUUCCGCGUCCUGACGGAAUAGGACGUUUAACGACAAAGGCGUAGAUGAUUACAGGCAAAUCCAUAAUCAGAGCCGAAGUCGGAAAGUACGAAAUGCCUUCGGGCUGCUCGAGUGAAGGUAAUCCAGCUCCCAAGAAAAUCCGCUAGCAUUAUUUUAAAGACACCCGUACCGUAAACGGACACACGUAACCGCGUAGAAUAUACUAAGGCGCUCGGAAGAUUCAUGGUUAAGGAACUAGGCAAAUUGACCCCGUAACUUCGGGAUAAGGGGUCCUCAUAGCAAUAUGAGGCGCAGAGAAUAGGUCCAGGCAACUGUUUAACAAAAACACAGGGCUGUGCUAAGUCGAAAGAUGCUGUAUACAGUCUGACACCUGCCCGGUGCCGGAAGGUCAAGAGGAGAGCUCAGACUUUCGUCGAAGGUUUGAAUUGAAGCCCCGGUAAACGGCGGCCGUAACUAUAACGGUCCUAAGGUAGCGAAAUUCCUUGUCGGGUAAGUUCCGACCUGCACGAAUGGUGUAAUGAUCCGGACACUGUCUCAACCAUGAUUCCGGUGAAAUUGUAGUAUCGGUGAAGAUGCCGAUUACCCGCGAUGGGACGAAAAGA
This 1613-nucleotide ribosomal RNA is filed under the name human metagenome. RNAcentral describes it as "bacterial LSU rRNA". It matches the Rfam family "Bacterial large subunit ribosomal RNA", at positions 471 to 2088 of the family's 2925-position model. The record is from RNAcentral.